CGAGGCAAACCAUUUUAAAGGGGGAAAAUUGGAACAAGUUCCAAACUUUUAAAACACCUCAAGGGCAAUUUAGGGAUUUAAUCUGAACCAACAUUUAUGUCUGGGAAACAAAACGUCAAGAUUGAGACUGUGAAAAGCUACGGGAGAGAGAACGGCAAAGAGAGAGAUAGGGAGACAGGCACUGCCUCCGGCGGCCACCAUCAUCAUUGACGGCAGGCGAACGAGAUAUGAUGGCGGCUAGGGUAAACUACCGGCAGACUGAAGAUGAUAGCGACGGUCGGGUUUUUGGUUCGCCAAUCAUUCGCUUAUGUGCCGUUUUCAAAUAUAUUUUCUACUAGAUUCGUAUAUGAUGAACCCUAAAAAGAUUCGGAAGUCUAAGAUCAAUCGCUUCAUACAAGAUGGCAUGUCUUCACUCCUGAAAUUGAUGAACCCUAGAUUUACAGAUAAGUCGUUCUGGAAUUGUGCUAGAUUCGUAUAUGAUGAACCCUAAAAAGAUUAGCUAUUUUGUUAAAUUUUGUUCGAGUGUUCGUUGAUGAAGCGUCGUUGGAUGAUCAUGCUUCUCCUGUUUCCACUUCUAUCAAAAUGCUUGAAGUUACAGAGACUUUGUUCCAAAAACACUUCAUCCUCACAACCUCAAAUAAUCGAACUCUCCGAUUUCCCUGGUGGCGUCAAGGCUUUUGAAUUAUGUGCGACAUUCUGCUAUGGAAUCACAAUCACUCUUAGUGCAAACAAUAUCGUGUCAGCUCGUUGUGCAGCGAAAUACCUUCAAAUGACAGAAGAUGUUGAAAAGGGCAAUUUAGUCCAUAAACUAGAAGUAUUCUUCAAUUCUUGCAUUCUCAGUGGUUGGAAAGAUUGCAUUGUGACUCUUCAAACCACAAAGCCAUUUCAAUUAUGGUCAGAAGAAUUAGGGAUUACAAGCCGUUGUAUUGAAUCACUUGUGUCAAAAGUCGUUUCUAACCCUAUGAAGGUUAUAUCAGACAACCGUUCGAAUCAAAAGGGGGAUAUAGAAGAAGUUUGUACAGCGAAAAGAUGGUGGGGCGACUCGCUUUCAAAAUUACGGAUCGAUCUUUAUUGGAGAUUACAAGGCUGUAAACGAACCGAACGUUCAGCGAACAGUUCGUGAACCGUUCGGCGGGAAGUUUGUUUAUGUUCGUUCGAUUAGCUUAACGAACGAACACGAACAGAAAAUUUCGUUCGGUUAGCUUAGCGAACGAACACAAACAUAGGUCUCGUUCGUUCGACUACGUUCGUGAACGUUCGGUAAUAUGUUCGGCUACGUUCGUCCGUGUUCGUUUGAUUAUAUUAAAAAAAUAAUAAACAAUAAACAAUUUAUCUAAACAUAUUGAAAACUUGAAACUCUAUUUUUUUCUAAGUUAGCUAAAAUUUGGACGUGCUAAGACAUUUUUGGGGAUAAGUAUGUCUAGGUAAGUUAAAGUUGAUUCAUCGUUUGGUGGUGUAUUAGACUUCUUGUGUUUUGAUUUAUCAUUUGAUGGUUGUAUUUAAGUACUUAUAUCCAAUGUUUAAGGAUAACAAUAUUUUUGUUUUUUUAUUUUCAAGUUAAAUGUUUGUUUGCGUUCUUUUUUAUUUGCUUGCGUUCGUUUGUGUUCGAGACCAGUGUUCACGAACUGUUCGUGAACAACUGAAUUUCCUUAACGAACGAACAUGAACAUAAACUUAUGUUCGGUAUGCGUUCGUGAACAGUUCGGGAACAUGUUAAUUUCCUUAACGAACGAACAUGAACAUGAACAUGGCCUUGUUCCUGUUUGUUCGGUUCGUUUACAACCCUAAGAACAAUGGCAGCGCUUAAAUCGGGCGAGAAAGUGCCACCUAAUCUUAUCGGCGCUUCUUUGAAAAUCUACACUUCAAAAUGGCUUCUGAAAAUUUCAAGAAAACUCGAAAACGGGUCGGGUUUGAAUAGCGGGUCUGAUCAUUCAAGUUCAAAUAGUAGACUGCUUUUAGAAUCUAUAAUUACCUUACUCCCAACUGAACGAAAUGCGGUUUCGUGUAGCUUUUUUCUCAAACUAUUAAAGGGGGUCAACGUAUUUCAAGCUGCGGGUUCUUCAAAACUAGAAUUGGCAAGAAGGGUUGCACUUCAAUUGGAUGAAGCAAAAGUUUGUGAUUUGAUGAUUCCGUCUGUGUCAAACGGUAGUGAUACGAUAUACAAUGUUGAUGUACCCUUUUUACCUGCAAUAAUGUGUAGAAAGAAGUUGGGACACCUGAACUGGAGACUGGUGCGAUUAUAGCUGCGCUAGAUCUUUAUGAUGUUAUCCAACUUGAUUUUUUUAGUGUGAAUAUGAGAGAAAAUUAUGCCACAUGGAGUAUGUUGAUAAAAGCAUGGAAGGCCAUUUGUUUCAAAAGAUUAAGUGGCCAAGAGACCCUGUUGAUAAAAGCAUGGAAGGAGUAUGUUGAUAAAAGCAUGGAGUAUGUUGAAACGAUCUGCAAUUACUCUCAAUUGGGAGUAACCGCUGGAAGACAUUUACUCAUCUUCGCACGAUUAAGAGGUCUGAUCCCAUCUUCACUUACUUUCAUCUCUUAACUCAGACGUUUACCACAGUUUGGUCGGUUAUGAGGCAUUGGUGGUGUAAUCGGAGCGUCAAAGGGCAGGGUUUAAUACUAGUUUACAGCUUUUUUAUCUUGAUUGUCGGUCAAUCAAAAGUUUUGCACCACUCUUAAGAUUAUUGUAUACAUGUCUUAAGUUGAAGAUCUUCCUGUUAAGAUGUUGAAGUAGCCUCCAGGCAACAACCCUCCUCUUAAUUAACAAACAAUUGGAUAUGGGAAGAAGGGUUUUCAAUUACUAGUUUAAGAAGAAUCUCGGGGUCUGAAGUCUGUGUGUUACCGUCAUGGCGUUUGGCGCAGGAGAUGGCCAUGUCGGAGGGCGCCACGGUGGAACAUCGUCACAGGGCGCCACAGUGGAACAUUGUCACAGGUUGGCACGGAAGGCUGGCUAGAGGGCGCAUCGCGGCAUUAGAGAAGAGCUAUGUGGUAGAGGGCAAGGUUGGCUAUGAUGUUUUGUGGAUCGAUUCAAAGGUACAAACUCUACAUAGUUUCGGCAGUCUGACCGGUUUUGGUAUGAUUUUCGGAUUCCCUUCGCCAUCGUACCUCGAUUUGGCCUUGUAAUAAUUUGUUUUGAUUAUUGUAUGUUUGUUCGAGUUACACCUUGUUUUGCAGCCUAUAGUGACCGAACCACACAUUCAACAACAAGGAAAUCAUGAUAUUAGACCAUAACACAUGAAACUGACUGAGCUUGAAAUAUUGAUAAGUCGUGACCUGUACUAAUACUUUUGUGGAAUUGGGUGCUAUUGUGGAGAGUGGAGAAGACAACUUAAAUAUGUUCUUUUACAUAUUUGAAGUGUUUUUUAUUUUUCUUCAGCUGGGCGACACAUGAUUUUUAAGGGAUAAUAAAAAGUUCAUCAACUAGGUAUUGGUGGAAUGUUAUUAGAAAUGUUCAUCAGGACUUUGAAGAAUUGGAUGCUAAUGUCCUAUUAUUGCAUUAUAUUUAUGGGUGAGUGAAGAUAUAAUGUGAAAUUGUAAGUUGUUUGGAUCUUUAAGUACCUUCAUAUGUAAGGAAAAAUUAAAAGUUAUAAUUGAAAGCAAAAAUUAAAAGUCAUAAUGGUUUAU
Molecule: long non-coding RNA, 3618 nt
Organism: Helianthus annuus (common sunflower)
Lineage: Eukaryota; Viridiplantae; Streptophyta; Magnoliopsida; Asterales; Asteraceae
Exons: 9
Source: RefSeq, a predicted model, not a curated record